UACAGAGGGUGCAAGCGUUAAUCGGAAUUAUUGGGCGUAAAGGGUGCGUAGGUGGUUUGGUAAGUUGUGAGUGAAAGCCCAGUGCUUAACAUUGGAAUUGCUCAUGAAACUGCCAUGACUAGAGUACAGUAGAGGGAAGUGGAAUUUCCAGUGUAGCGGUGAAAUGCGUAGAUAUUGGAAGGAACACCAGUGGCGAAGGCGACUUCCUGGACUGAUACUGACACUGAGGCACGAAAGCGUGGGGAGCAAA
Molecule: ribosomal RNA, 250 nt
Filed under: uncultured bacterium
Lineage: Bacteria
Description: partial 16S ribosomal RNA
Rfam family: Bacterial small subunit ribosomal RNA
Source: RNAcentral